UACAGAGGGUGCGAGCGUUAAUCGGAAUUACUGGGCGUAAAGCGUGCGUAGCCGGUUUUGUAAGUCGGAUGUGAAAUCCCCGGGCUCAACCUGGGAAUUGCAUUCGAGACUGCAAGGCUUGGGUGCGGAAGAGGGAAGCGGAAUUUCCGGUGUAGCGGUGAAAUGCGUAGAUAUCGGAAGGAACAUCAGUGGCGAAAGCGGCUUCCUGGUCCAGCACCGACGUUCAGGCACGAAAGCGUGGGGAGCAAACAGG
This 253-nucleotide ribosomal RNA is filed under the name uncultured bacterium. Its description in RNAcentral is "partial 16S ribosomal RNA". It matches the Rfam family "Bacterial small subunit ribosomal RNA", at positions 524 to 776 of the family's 1533-position model. The record is from RNAcentral.